CCUACGGGCGGCAGCAGUGAGGAAGAUGGGUCAAUGGGCGGGAGCCGGAACAAGCCAAGCCGCGGGAGGGAAGAAGGUACAGCGUAUAGUAAACCUCGUUUGUCAGGGAACAAAGGCGGGGACUAGUCCCCGGAUGAGGGUACCUGAAGAAAAAGCAUCGGCUAACUCCGUGCCAGCAGCCGCGGUAAUACGGAGGAUGCGAGCGUUAUCCGGAUGUAUUGGGUUAAAAGGGUGCGCAGUGGGCCUGUUAAGUCAGCGGUAAAAGCCCGGGGCUCAACCCCGGCGGGCCGUUGAAACUGGCGGGCUGGAGUUGGGGCGACGUACGCGGAAUGCGCGGUGUAGCGGUGAAAUGCUUAGCUAUCGCGCACAACCCCGAUUGCGAAGGCAGCGCACCGGCUCCACACUGACGCUGAGGCACGAACGCGUGGGUAUCGACCAGGAUUCGAUACCCUAGUAGUC
This 459-nucleotide ribosomal RNA is filed under the name uncultured bacterium. RNAcentral's name for it is "partial 16S ribosomal RNA". It matches the Rfam family "Bacterial small subunit ribosomal RNA", at positions 338 to 795 of the family's 1533-position model. The record is from RNAcentral.